AUGUAGCCAAGUGGAUCAAGGCGGUGGAUUGUGAAUCC
Molecule: transfer RNA, 38 nt
Filed under: Potamogeton natans
Lineage: Eukaryota; Viridiplantae; Streptophyta; Magnoliopsida; Alismatales; Potamogetonaceae
Description: partial tRNA-His
Source: RNAcentral